CAAUUUUUUUUAUAUAUUUUAAACCUUCCUUUUCUCUUCUUUCAAACAGGUGCUAUUUCCAACGACUUCGCAAUACAUCAGCAUUCCCAAGCUGUCUGAUGAAGAGGUGAUCCAUAUCCUGGAUGCGUGUCUCUCAUAUCGCAGACGGCAGUUGACACCAUCACAGAGGAAGGUCGUUGAAGCCGCAUUCCAGAGGUGUCCGCUUCCACUCUUCCUCAAGAUGUCAGUCGACCAGGCCUGCCAGUGGCGGUCGUUCACCCCGGCUGACAUCACAGUGUUGCAAUAUACCAUCGGUCAAAGCAUCAAUACUCUUUUUGAAAAAAUCGAAAAACUUCACGGGAAAAUAUUCGUCUCCAAGGCACUGGGCUAUCUUACUAUAAGUAAAUCUGGGCUAUCAGACAGCGAACUGGAGGAUGUGUUGUCAUGUGACGAUGACGUAUUGGAUGAACUCUUCACUUAUUGGACCCCUUCUAUUCGCCGAUUACCUCCCCUUCUUUUAGUCAGGCUGAAAAACGAAUUGGGGAAUUAUUUAGUUGAUCGUGGUGCUGAUGGUGUCCGGGUGUUCUUCUGGUAUCACCGUCUGUUUCUGGAAGCUGCUAAAACUCGCUACUGUGUAAACCAGCGAGUUAGCCAAGGCCUGCACGCCGGUCUGGCAGAUUUCUUUGCAGGUACCUGGGCUGAAGGACUGUCGAAACCCUACAAGGAUUCGAAAGGAGCGUCUGGAACGGCAGAUCGUCACGUGGCAGCCCAGCCAAUCAAAUUUGAUGAAAUUUAUAAUCUACGAAAACUUAACAAUUUACCUUUCCACCGAAUUACUGCAGGGCAGGUGGAUUUAGUGAAGAAAGAGUGUCUGUGCAAUUUUGAAUUCAUCCUAGCCAAGCUCAAAGCUGUUGGAGUAAGACAGGUUCUGGACGACCUGAUCGAGGCUCACGCCAUGUUUCCUGACGAUCUUCAGAUACAGACGGUGUCGGAGGUCCUUCAGCUGUCUCAGACGAGUCUGGCGUACAACCCCGACGAACUGCCUUCCCACAUCAUAGGACGCAUCAGACGUACAAAGGGUCUCAAGUCCCUGGUGUCUCAGUGUCAGAAGGCCCAGCAUGGCUUCCUGCUGCCCAACCUACCCGUGCUCAACCCUACAGGCGGCCCGCUUCUGCACUGCCUGGCAGAACACACGGCCGAGGUCACUGGCAUUGACAUGAUGUCAAGCGGCAAGAAAAUGGUCACAUGUUCAUACGACAAUUCUGUCAAAAUCUGGGACGUCUCAGCUGGGAAGCUGCUACAUUCGUUUGAUAACGUGGGUGAGAGACCUUCGAAAGUGAUGAUCUGCUACAAAAACACCAUUGCAUGUGUGGAAACAAUGAACUCCUUGAUAGCCUUCGAGAUUAUGACGGGAGUCCAGCAGCGAUUCAAACUGGACCUGAACAUGGAGAAAUCGUGUGUCUGUAGCACUGGGGAAAACAAGACAAGACUGGCCAUUUUCAGCGGGACUAUUUUGAAACUGCGCAGCGCGAGGACAGGAAAACAGCUGGGGCAGGAGGAAUGUUCUUUGUUGGAAACUGGGGAGGAAUUUGGACAAGGGUGUGUCUGUACAGGAUGUAACACAAUAAUAGCCAUUUCGGUGGGCAGCAGAGUUAUCCUGUACGACUUGCCAGCGACCCAGUUCUACGAGGACACGAUUCACAUUCCUGAAGUGGACGAGACUAUUAAGGAUCUAGUGACCUGCAUGGCGUUCUGUGCGUCUGACAAGCGCAUUGUCAUUGGGUGCGGAGUCUCCGUGACCUUUUACGUCAUUGAUCUUGCAGACAAAACCAUUAUACAGUCACUUCCAGGAGUAAAACAUGACCGCAUGGCAUCCUUUGUACGCGUGACCAACGACGACCGGUACCUGAUAACGGCUAGCUGGGAGAAAAUCGUCAUCUGGGAUUUAAAGACGUCAUCUCGCUACCCGGUCCUCAAACACCCGACUCGGGCCGUCACCAACGUGGCGUCGGUCGACGGCAACAUCAUGGCCACCAUAGCGAGCGACGCCGUGGUCAGACUGUGGGAUCUCUCGCGCGAUGACGCAUCCAUUCAUCCAGGCAACAACGGCUUCAUAACUCCACGUGACGAAAAAAGACAUUCCGCAAGCCCCAUUGAUAGUCAGCUAGUUACGCCGAUUCAAGAGAUAGAUGACGAUUUCCAUAUUAGUGAGAUCUACGUCACCACAAACCCGAGAUAUGUUCUACUCUAUGGUAAGGUCGAUCGUGAUGGCGUAAAGACACAGAUUCUACGAGUUUACGAUUUGGGAACAUGCAGACCUAUAAGACAGCUGAAACUGGACGAAGGUAAAUCCAGCUACCAGGUUGUCAUGGUUGGAGACAGACAGACGCUGGUGGUGGAGUGGACGGGAAGAGUCCGACUCCUCGAUCUUUUUAUUGCCAAAUAUGUGGGUCAGCUUUCAGAAUACAUUCCACAAAACUCCACCUUGCCUCAGGACUUGGUUGUCCUUACAAAUACUUCAGAAGUUCUGAGUUUAUCUGAAAACCGGCUUAGCAUCAAGAUCUUCUGUCUGAAAACAUGCAAAUGUACUGAUACAAUCGAUGCUGGGAAACCAAAGAAAAUAACCGGAUUUGUUAAAAACGCCGCCGAGAGCACUCUAGUGGCAGCCACGUUGAAGGGCCCCUAUCUAGUGUUCGACUUGACGUCACGACGGUUCAUCUACCAUUUCGAUUCAGCCAGCAUGAACGUGAAGAACUUUAACGAGUCCAAAUUGACAGAUGACGACAGGUAUCUGGUGUGUCGUGAACAGUCUGGGGACGCCUCACAGCUCGUCGUCUGGGAACUCAAAACACGUCGUGUCCACGUUAGGCUAGCCACAGACGCCUAUGAGUUGGACAAUAACAACAUAUCAAAUACGAUUAGUCUAAGAAAGUUUGUCAUCGUUGAUAACAGAACCGUGCUGGCAUCUUACAGUGACGACUCGCUACGAUCACAUGACUUGAGAUCAGGACAACUGUUGCAAGAGGUAAAGAUUCGAGGUGGUGUCUUGUGGGUCAGUCUGCGGCCAGACAGUCAGUACGUCUUUACCUACAACAACGUCAUCGACGACAACGUCAUGAGGAUCUGGGAUAAGACCACACUUCAGUGUCUCGCUUCAUAUUCUCCUGACUUCAGGCCUGUCGCGAUCACCAUGAGUCAAGAUGGACACUGCGUGCUGGCCAGUUUCCGGCAGAUGUCCACUCCGAUCAUCUGGCGCAUGUACUCCAUGCCACGUCACACAUACAAGGCGGUAGACUGGAUGAAAUACCCAGAGAUUUAUGGGACCACUGAUCGGGCUGCCAGUGCUCUCUUGCGCUUUUCGGUUUGAGUAUGCGAACAGUGGUCUCCCCCCUCCAAACUUUCCUCCUGUCUUGGAAUGUGGAACUGUCCCACGCCAGAACUUGCGCUCAAGAGAGGCGUGUGCUACAACAGCUUUCUCUGAACGACCAUGUUAAAUCAUUUUCCUCAUCCUCAUUAUCAUCAUCAUCAUCAUCAUCAUCCCACUAUGUCGGACAUAGAGACUAAUUUGAGUGCGUCGGAAGUGGAAACCACAGUUACAACACCCGUGUCUUCAGUAACUGACGUGUCUUCCCAACAGACGGAAGCUACAACAUUGGUCGCUGAAGAUACCGAUGCGGAGACGG
This 3662-nucleotide unclassified non-coding RNA is filed under the name Gigantopelta aegis. Its description in RNAcentral is "nACHT domain- and WD repeat-containing protein 1- like, transcript variant X2". The record is from RNAcentral. Lineage: Eukaryota; Metazoa; Mollusca; Gastropoda; Neomphalida; Peltospiridae.